GCUCACUUCUGCAGCAUAAAUUAAAGUUGGAAUGAUACAGAGAUGAUUAGCAUGGCCCUUGUGCAAGGAUGAUAGACAAAUUCAUGAAGUGGUCCAUAUAUUU
This is a small nuclear RNA of Dipodomys ordii (Ord's kangaroo rat), 103 nucleotides long. Lineage: Eukaryota; Metazoa; Chordata; Mammalia; Rodentia; Heteromyidae. The record is from Ensembl.